GAUGAACGCUGGCGGCGUGCCUAAUACAUGCAAGUCGAGCGAACGGACGAGAAGCUUGCUUCUCUGAUGUUAGCGGCGGACGGGUGAGUAACACGUGGAUAACCUACCUAUAAGACUGGGAUAACUUCGGGAAACCGUAGCUAAUACCGGAUAAUAUUUUGAACCGCAUGGUUCAAAAGUGAAAGACGUUCUUGCUGUCACUUAUAGAUGGAUCCGCGCUGCAUUAGCUAGUUGGUAAGGUAACGGCUUACCAAGGCAACGAUGCAUAGCCGACCUGAGAGGGUGAUCGGCCACACUGGAACUGAGACACGGUCCAGACUCCUACGGGAGGCAGCAGUAGGGAAUCUUCCGCAAUGGGCGAAAGCCUGACGGAGCAACGCCGCGUGAGUGAUGAAGGUCUUCGGAUCGUAAAACUCUGUUAUUAGGGAAGAACAUAUGUGUAAGAAACUGUGCACAUCUUGACGGUACCGAAACAGAAAGCCACGGCUAACUACGUG
This 497-nucleotide ribosomal RNA is filed under the name uncultured bacterium. Its description in RNAcentral is "partial 16S ribosomal RNA". It matches the Rfam family "Bacterial small subunit ribosomal RNA", at positions 28 to 507 of the family's 1533-position model. The record is from RNAcentral.